UGCGCAUACAUAACGCAGUAUAUAUAGGAGGCCCAUCACUCUUACACCUCUCAUCGGCUCGUCCUAGCUCAGCCUGUAACACGUCCUCGUCUCCAUCCGAUCGCCACGGUAACGGAAGAUGGCCGCAUCACAGUUGUACACGUGCCUCUCAGUCUGCGUGCUGCUCAUUUCUGGCGUCUCCGCUGGAAUAUGGAUCACUGACAUCACCAACUGCGCACUGCUUUGUCUCGGCUGUAAUGAACUGCACAAGGGAACCCUGCUAUGGGAGGCGAGAGGUGGCGGCGAGCUGUGUGUGAACUUCUGUACCCAGAGCAUACCGUCUCUGGUCCCGCGCGACUUCUGCCACUUCAUCCUGGAAUCUGGAGAAAAGAAGCGAUCCUCCUUCAAAGCAAGAUACCUUUAUCGGCAUCGGACUCAGUAAUAAAGAUAUUUUAUACCGCCUUUGCCCAUUUUUAGGGCGUUAAUUGAAUGCGAUAUUGCAUUUCGUGCCAACUGCCCCCACACAUUGAAAUACAUAAUAAACCGUCUUUAGACAAGUAAUGAGAAAGAUUCUCAGCCGAGUUCAUUUACCUGUAGAAAAGAACAGAUGACACCUUAUGUUAAAAAGGAUUUGGGCCGUUUAUACCAUCUUACUUGACGUCAUCAGCCUCCUGUUUUCCUGGAAACUUACGCGAACUGCAUCUAUCAAAUAUCAGGGCUGUCCGUCUGUAACUGAUGUGUAGGAGGUAGUCUCAAUGGAGGGGCCGGAAAAUUAGCUUCCUUGGCGACAGCCGAGAUUAUUUCAAUCUAGGACAGAAGCAAAUCCCAGCUGUACAGAGCUAAUGAAAUAACAGUCCGUGGAGAGUCGAUCAGAACAUUCAGCGUUUCAUUAGCACAAAGAACGUCAUCAGUUCGCUCAUGUUUAUCCGCCCUUCCUGUAUAGUCUGAUGCCAAGAUGUAUUCCUUUAUCUGCAUGUUCCUUCGCAUUCCUGAUCCUGUCCCUCUAAAGAUCGGACGUAUUGAACAUUUCAUGCACAAUUAAUGUUAUAUGUUUCGCCGAUGUAAUAAAUACCCAUUUGUCCUCACGACUCAGGAAAGUUUGUUCC
Branchiostoma floridae (Florida lancelet) is the source of this 1085-nucleotide long non-coding RNA. RefSeq lists it as uncharacterized. NCBI's taxonomy places the organism in Eukaryota, Metazoa, Chordata, Leptocardii, Amphioxiformes, Branchiostomatidae. The transcript has 3 exons. The record is from RefSeq and is a predicted model, not a curated record.